This 826-nucleotide ribosomal RNA is filed under the name uncultured bacterium. Its description in RNAcentral is "bacterial SSU rRNA". It matches the Rfam family "Bacterial small subunit ribosomal RNA", at positions 9 to 830 of the family's 1533-position model. The record is from RNAcentral.
GAGUUUGAUCAUGGCUCAGAUUGAACGCUGGCGGUAGGCUUAACACAUGCAAGUCGUGCGAGAAAGUAUCUUCGGAUAUGAGUAGAGCGGCGGACGGGUGAGUAACGCGUAGGAAUCUACCUAGUAGAAGGGGAUAGCCCGGGGAAACCCGGAUUAAUACCGUAUACCUCCUUCGGGAGAAAGAAGGCCUCUCUUUGAAGCUUUCGCUAUUAGAUGAGCCUGCGUAAGAUUAGCUUGUUGGUGAGGUAAAGGCUCACCAAGGCUACGAUCUUUAGCUGGUCUGAGAGGACGAUCAGCCACAUUGGGACUGAGACACGGCCCAGACUCCUACGGGAGGCAGCAGUGGGGAAUAUUGGACAAUGGGCGCAAGCCUGAUCCAGCCAUACCGCGUGUGUGAAGAAGGCCUUCGGGUUGUAAAGCACUUUAAGCAGGGAGAAAAAGUUAUAAGUUAAUACCUUAUAACCGUGAUGUUACCUGCAGAAUAAGCACCGGCUAAUUCCGUGCCAGCAGCCGCGGUAAUACGGAAGGUGCAAGCGUUAAUCGGAAUUACUGGGCGUAAAGCGCGCGUAGGUGGUUUGUUAAGUUGGAUGUGAAAGCCCUGGGCUCAACCUAGGAACUGCAUCCAAAACUAACUCACUAGAGUACGAUAGAGGGAGGUAGAAUUCAUAGUGUAGCGGUGGAAUGCGUAGAUAUUAUGAAGAAUACCAGUGGCGAAGGCGGCCUCCUGGAUCUGUACUGACACUGAGGUACGAAAGCGUGGGUAGCGAACGGGAUUAGAUACCCUGGUAGUCCACGCCGUAAACGAUGACAACUAGCUGUUGGGAGA